Molecule: long non-coding RNA, 349 nt
Organism: Dromaius novaehollandiae (emu)
Lineage: Eukaryota; Metazoa; Chordata; Aves; Casuariiformes; Dromaiidae
Exons: 2
Source: RefSeq, a predicted model, not a curated record
CUAAAACUGCAGACAUCCUUUGACCUUGGGUGAGGAAGCUUGAUUUGAGAAGACAAAGGGGAAGCUGGUGAAUGGAUAGUCAGAGGGACGCAACAGGUCCCUUAACAGUUUCAAGAUAUCCGCAGCUGCCUUUUAGAUGAUGUAAGAUGGAUUUGCAGAAGCCAAUGAGGAUGAGUUAAAAAACAAUCAAAAUGGGAGAGGCAAGCUCCCAUGUGAACAGGAUCCAGCUGAGCAUCGAGGAGUCUCUGGCCUGCUGAUGUCUGCCUGUCCCAGAUCUGAGACCCAUGUGCCUAUUUAAUACCUGAGCAUCUCAGUGAUGCCUUUUAAGAUUUAAAGGAUCUAUACGACA